Molecule: non-coding RNA, 45 nt
Filed under: Schistosoma curassoni
Lineage: Eukaryota; Metazoa; Platyhelminthes; Trematoda; Strigeidida; Schistosomatidae
Source: RNAcentral
AUUCAGCUGAAGAAUCCCAAAAAGGUCGAAACGCCCGUCCUGAAU